Molecule: long non-coding RNA, 674 nt
Organism: Herpailurus yagouaroundi (jaguarundi)
Lineage: Eukaryota; Metazoa; Chordata; Mammalia; Carnivora; Felidae
Exons: 4
Source: RefSeq, a predicted model, not a curated record
GUGCUCUAAGCAUGGAACAAGUCUUCCUAUUGGAAUACACAUCUCUGUCUGGGAGGCUCUGGAAUAUAACCCCAUGAAAUGCAAGGACUGUGUCUCUUUCACCAUUGUAACCAGAACACCUGAAAGUGUGAUUUCCAAGUUCACAACACAGUGAUGCAACAAUUACAUACAUUACACAGUGUUCACACAGGGAGUGUAGUUACCAUCUGUCACCAGAAAAGGGACUCUGCGGCACCCUAGAGCGGAGCCUUUCGCCGCCCCCUGUCCCCGGAGCACGGAGCACGCAUGCGCAGCAGACUGCAGCCCACGUUGCUGUCGCCAGUUUGCCAGUGGGGAGAGAACGGGCGCCACGCUGUGGUGCAGGGGAGCCACUGCCACCUGCAGACGGAUCCCUUCCUCUGGUCAGCCUCCACUCUACCUCUGAAAAAUCGGGGUGAUACACAGGCUUUCUGGAGUUGUCUGCUAGGCUAUAGAGAUCCCCGCCUUCUCCUUCACACAGAAGUUCCUGGGGUUCAACUCUUACCGACUUCACCGAGCUCCAAACUCUGGGUAGCAAGGCAGCCAGUUAAAUCCCAGAUCCUCCCGAGCUUUCCAGGGCGAGGCGGGGAUUUAAGAGCAGCCUUGCACUAGGAUGAUCCUCAUCUUCCCUGCAGGGCUCACAUUUCUAUUUUUUA